Molecule: transfer RNA, 72 nt
Filed under: Ganoderma leucocontextum
Lineage: Eukaryota; Fungi; Basidiomycota; Agaricomycetes; Polyporales; Polyporaceae
Description: tRNA-Glu
Rfam family: tRNA
About the family: Transfer RNA (tRNA) molecules are approximately 80 nucleotides in length. Their secondary structure includes four short double-helical elements and three loops (D, anti-codon, and T loops).
Source: RNAcentral
UCCGAUAUGGUGUAGUGGCUAACACUAUCGCCUCUCAUGCGAUAGCCCGGGGUUUGAUUCCCCUGGUCGGAA